Molecule: transfer RNA, 69 nt
Filed under: Pseudostigma aberrans
Lineage: Eukaryota; Metazoa; Arthropoda; Insecta; Odonata; Coenagrionidae
Description: tRNA-Leu
Source: RNAcentral
ACUAUUUUGACAGAUAAGUGUUAUGAAUUUAGAAUUCAUUAAUGUAAGGAUUAGUUCUUACAAAUAGUA